UCAGUUUGUCAUUGCCAUCUAAAAUGCAUUGAGCUGUCACAUUAGAGAAGCAACUCGAUACGUCAGUCCCCUCGCUGCCGUCCCUCUCUCUCCAUCAUUUGCACUGCUCUGCCAGUCUCCAUUCAGCUUCACUGCGGCGCUCUGUUCUCCUGCUCUCACUCUCUCUCUCUUCUUCUGAUCGCCUACCAUCCUUCCAUUAGCGGACCCUAAGCAUUUUACUCAAAGUCGUGAAAGCAUUGAAAGCGCUCUCCUUUCUUGGUGUGCUCGUUUUUUUUGUCAAUCAAUUUCGAAGGUGUUGCUGCUGUGGCUGAUGUUGCCCGUGGAUGUUGUUGCUGGUGCUGCUACCGUUUGUCGUUGCGUGCACUUUAGUGGAAAUUGCUGUUGACGUUGGUUGUAUGGAAUACUUCUCAGUACCUGCAUUACAUCGAGUGCUCCAAUAUUUUCAACGCUAAGCCCAUUCCCACAGGGACACUUGUUUAUGCCAAAGUAUGAAAUUUCCAUCAUCUUUCGGUAUAUCUGCUCAUUCAAAACCUGCCUGAUCAUUAGCAACAAGUUCUAAGUUCUUCACGGCUCUAAUGGACACGAUCGAUCAUGCAGCACGCCCAUCCCUGAGUCUCUCUCUCUCUUUCACUCAGGUCUUGGGACUUGAUCUCUCUCGAGCAGCGUCUUUGUUUGUCACACAAAUGAAGAGUUGAUGAGGAUGACGAUGAUGAUGAGAAGUAGCAUAAAGAUGAGGAGGGAGGGAGGGAGGACGAUGACGAUGACGAAGCGGAUGAAGAAGAUCAACUCGAGAAAAACCUCAGCGCUCAAUCAGCCGUUGAGGGUUCGAUGCGGUGCGGACAGGGGACCGGGGUUCGGGGUACAUUCGGGGGUUCGUGGUUCAGCUUCAGGUUCUUUCAUUUCAGAAUAUUGUUUGUCAUGGCCUGCCAGGGAGUGGGGGGGCGAGCGAUUGUCUCUGGCUGGACUCGGGUUGUUAGAGGCUCACUCAGAUUGUUGUUUGCUGCCUGUCGUGGGUCUGGGGCACGUCACAAGGAUGCCUCAAACACAAUGGACUGGGACACUUGUGCCGGAGAACACAGAGUUUGCCCUUUGUUCGACGCUGCUCAAUGUGUGCAAUGAGCAAUGAUUAAAUUAAUUAUGCCUGGCAGGUAGCUCUCCAGAUACUAGACACAGGCGAACCACUCAUAGAAAUGCACGGAGCGUGAAGAAAGCGUUGGCAGAGCCAGAACCUGUCUACAAAAGGACAUUUGAUAUUUUUGACACUUUUCUCGGGGCUCGCACAGGGACUUGUAAAUCGAACACAAAAAGAUAAAAAGAGACAGGCAAAAAAGGAAAGAAAAAAAAUGCACUGAUUGCACAUGGCAAAUGGCAAUCCCUCGACCUAGCCCUAGCUCUAUCCCAGGCUCUGGAGCCAACAAUUGAAGUGUAAUUUAUGACAACAAUGAGCGACGCUGCUGCACCGAGCCUGCUGCUGUCUGUCUUUGUGCUCGAGAUCGCUGCAGGUCAAGGCUCCCCCGAACCAACGAUCCGAACCGACUGAUCCCCAUGACAAAUGCCGGUGGCUGUGCCUGUCUCUCCCAUCGAUCGCAGCGAGAUAAGCCCUUGAUCAGGUUGAGCAGACACUUGCAAUGGCGAAAGCCGAUACGAUUUGUAUUCGUUGUUUGUUUGUGUGUGGGUUCAGGGGUUAGAGCUGGGUUUGCCGAUAGAGAGUUUGGAAUGGCAAAGGGCUGGGCAAGAGAUCGGCUAUCUCCGCGCGGAUAAGAACGCUCCCAGACACAACAACAACAACAGGAAAUGUGCAAUGAAAAUGGAAGGGAAAAUUACUGAUUGAUUUGGCAGAAUUUUGGCUGAGUAGAUCAUCCUUCAACGACUUUACAGCUUGACGUUUCCUGGUUAAAAUAACAAUAAUCCAAUCUUUGAUCCACGAAAUUAGAUCCACAAAACGUUGAAAAUGCUCCUCAAUUUUAGAGCUAUCAAUAACGUCAUAAAAUCUCCAGUUUCACCCGGAAUUGACAGCCCGGAAUCCAAACAAUCUUCAGAGCAAGUAAACAAGACAUUAAAGUGGACAUAAAAGUUAUGAGUUUACACAAAAAGAAUCAACUGAAAAUUGUUAGUUAAAUGGCAGAAAGUUCAAAGUUUGCCCAUGC
This is a long non-coding RNA of Drosophila subobscura, 2147 nucleotides long. RefSeq lists it as uncharacterized. The transcript has 3 exons. The record is from RefSeq and is a predicted model, not a curated record. Lineage: Eukaryota; Metazoa; Arthropoda; Insecta; Diptera; Drosophilidae.